GACGAACGCUGGCGGCGUGCUUAACACAUGCAAGUCGAACGGAAAGGCCCUGCUUUUGUGUGGUGCUCGAGUGGCGAACGGGUGAGUAACACGUGAGUAACCUGCCCUUGACUUUGGGAUAACUUCAGGAAACUGGUGCUACUACCGGAUAGGAGCUCCUGCUGCAUGGUGGUGGUUGGAAAUUUUCGGCGGUUGGGGAUGGACUCGCGGCUUAUCAGCUUGUUGGUGGGGUAGUGGCUUACCAAGGCUUUGAAGGGUAGCCGGCCUGAGAGGGGGACCGGCCACAUUGGGACUGAGAGACGGACCAGACUCCUACGGGAGGCAGCAGGGGGGAAUAUUGCACAAUGGGCGGAAGCCUGAUGCAGCAACGCCGCGUGCGGGAUGACGGCCUUCGGGUUGUAAACCGCUUUAGCCUGUGACGAAGCGUGAGUGACGGUAAUGGGUAAAGAAGCACCGGCUAACUACGUG
This 468-nucleotide ribosomal RNA is filed under the name uncultured bacterium. RNAcentral's name for it is "partial 16S ribosomal RNA". It matches the Rfam family "Bacterial small subunit ribosomal RNA", at positions 28 to 507 of the family's 1533-position model. The record is from RNAcentral.